GACGAACGCUGGCGGCGUGCUUAACACAUGCAAGUCGAACGGAAAGGCCCUGCUUGCAGGGUACUCGAGUGGCGAACGGGUGAGUAACACGUGGGUGAUCUGCCCUGCACUUCGGGAUAAGCCUGGGAAACUGGGUCUAAUACCGGAUAGGAGCCAUUUUUAGUGUGAUGGUUGGAAAGUUUUUUCGGUGUAGGAUGAGCUCGCGGCCUAUCAGCUUGUUGGUGGGGUAAUGGCCUACCAAGGCGGCGACGGGUAGCCGGCCUGAGAGGGUGGACGGCCACAUUGGGACUGAGAUACGGCCCAGACUCCUACGGGAGGCAGCAGUGGGGAAUAUUGCACAAUGGGCGCAAGCCUGAUGCAGCGACGCCGCGUGGAGGAUGACGGCCUUCGGGUUGUAAACUCCUUUCGCUAGGGACGAAGCUUUUUGUGACGGUACCUAGAUAAGAAGCACCGGCUAACUACGU
Molecule: ribosomal RNA, 464 nt
Filed under: uncultured bacterium
Lineage: Bacteria
Description: partial 16S ribosomal RNA
Rfam family: Bacterial small subunit ribosomal RNA
Source: RNAcentral